Molecule: long non-coding RNA, 742 nt
Organism: Ailuropoda melanoleuca (giant panda)
Lineage: Eukaryota; Metazoa; Chordata; Mammalia; Carnivora; Ursidae
Exons: 3
Source: RefSeq, a predicted model, not a curated record
AAGUUACCCACACCUUCUGCCACAAUCUGCUUCUCUGCAAGAUGGAUCAGCUGUCUCACAUGGAGCCUUGAACAUGAAAACCAGGAAAUAUGAGGACCUGGCUCAUGCCACACUGCAAGUGAAUGGUGCUUAAGAGGAGAACAGGAAGCGCUCAAUAAAUGCCAUGAAGAUGCAAGAGGGACACAUCUAAACUGAACCAGAGAACUUCCUGGAGAAGCUGAUGCUGGAAUAGAGACUUAAAGGCUGAAGAAGUCGUCUCCUUCUCUCCCUCUCUCCAGUCCUCUCCCUUCCAGCUGGGACUCACCCUCCACGGCUCUGUGCCCUGGCCUACUACCCCCAGAGACUCGGAGAGCGCUCCAUGCAGCUGAGAAGGAGUGGAAGACACAGAACGAGCACAGUAACACACUUGUGCAUUCAAACAGUCUGAGGAGCAGUUGUCCAGCCCAAAGAAGCACCUAACUGCGAGUCGAAACAUCUGGUUUGUCCUAAUUCUCAGAGACGGUUUGAGCAAGUCAUUUCCCUUCUCUGGGCCACCAAGUAUUCACUACUAGAACAUGGAAGACUGGCUAGGAUGAACCUUAAGGAAUCAUUCUGCUCUAACUUUCUGGAAUCUAGGGUUCUACAGAGAUGACAAAGAGCUAGCUAAAGAUUUAGGACAUUACACAACCAAUCCCAUGCUUUAGCCCAAGGAUCUAGGAAACCAGAAAGGGACAGGAAACCUGUAAGUGGCUGCAUCCAUGAA